GACGAACGCUGGCGGCGUGCUUAACACAUGCAAGUCGAACGGAAAGGCCCUGCUUUUGUGGGGUGCUCGAGUGGCGAACGGGUGAGUAACACGUGAGUAACCUGCCCUUGACUUUGGGAUAACUUCAGGAAACUGGGGCUAAUACCUGAUAGGAUCUCCUGCUGCUUGGUGGGGGUUGGAAAGUUUCGGCGGUUGGGGAUGGACUCGCGGCUUAUCAGCUUGUUGGUGGGGUAGUGGCUUACCAAGGCUUUGACGGGUAGCCGGCCUGAGAGGGUUACCGGCCAAAGUGGGACUGAGAUACGGACCAGACUGCUACGGGAGGCAGCAGGGGGGAAUAUUGCACAAUGGGCGGAAGCGUGAUGCAGAAACGCCGCGUGCGGGAUGACGGCCUUCGGGUUGUAAACCGCUUUCGCAUGUGACGAAGCGUGAGUGACGGUAAUGGGUAAAGAAGCACCGGCUAACUACGUG
This 468-nucleotide ribosomal RNA is filed under the name uncultured bacterium. Its description in RNAcentral is "partial 16S ribosomal RNA". It matches the Rfam family "Bacterial small subunit ribosomal RNA", at positions 28 to 507 of the family's 1533-position model. The record is from RNAcentral.